UACGAAGGGGGCUAGCGUUGCUCGGAAUCACUGGGCGUAAAGCGCACGUAGGCGGAUCUUUAAGUCAGGGGUGAAAUCCUGGAGCUCAACUCCAGAACUGCCUCCGAUACUGAAUGUCUUCGAGUCCGGGAGAGGUGAGUGGAACUGCGAGUGUAGAGGUGAAAUUCGUAGAUAUUCGCAAGAACACCAGUGGCGAAGGCGGCUCACUGGCCCGGUACUGACGCUGAGGUGCGAAAGCGUGGGGAGCGAACAGG
This 254-nucleotide ribosomal RNA is filed under the name uncultured bacterium. Its description in RNAcentral is "partial 16S ribosomal RNA". It matches the Rfam family "Bacterial small subunit ribosomal RNA", at positions 524 to 776 of the family's 1533-position model. The record is from RNAcentral.